UCAGACUUUGAAUAGAGAAACAAUGGACCA
RNAcentral lists this non-coding RNA (30 nucleotides) under Mus musculus (house mouse). The record is from RNAcentral. Lineage: Eukaryota; Metazoa; Chordata; Mammalia; Rodentia; Muridae.